This 253-nucleotide ribosomal RNA is filed under the name uncultured bacterium. RNAcentral describes it as "partial 16S ribosomal RNA". It matches the Rfam family "Bacterial small subunit ribosomal RNA", at positions 524 to 776 of the family's 1533-position model. The record is from RNAcentral.
UACGGAGGGUGCAAGCGUUAUCCGGAUUUACUGGGUUUAAAGGGUGCGUAGGUGGGUCUGUAAGUCAGUGGUGAAAUCUCCGAGCUUAACUCGGAAACUACCAUUGAUACUAUAGGUCUUGAAUUAUCUGGAGGUAAGCGGAAUAUGUCAUGUAGCGGUGAAAUGCUUAGAUAUGACAUAGAACACCAAUUGCGAAGGCAGCUUACUACGGAUAUAUUGACACUGAGGCACGAAAGCGUGGGGAUCAAACAGG